GACGAACGCUGGCGGCGUGCUUAACACAUGCAAGUCGAACGGAAAGGCCCUGCUUUUGUGGGGUGCUCGAGUGGCGAACGGGUGAGUAACACGUGAGUAACCUGCCCUUGACUUUGGGAUAACUUCAGGAAACUGGGGCUAAUACCGGAUAGGAGCUCCUGCUGCAUGGUGGGGGUUGGAAAGUUUCGGCGGUUGGGGAUGGACUCGCGGCUUAUCAGCUUGUUGGUGGGGUAGUGGCUUACCAAGGCUUUGACGGGUAGCCGGCCUGAGAGGGUGACCGGCCACAUUGGGACUGAGAUACGGCCCAGACUCCUACGGGAGGCAGCAGUGGGGAAUAUUGCACAAUGGGCGGAAGCCUGAUGCAGCAACGCCGCGUGCGGGAUGACGGCCUUCGGGUUGUAAACCGCUUUCGCCUGUGACGAAGCGUGAGUGACGGUAAUGGGUAAAGAAGCACCGGCUAACUACGUGCCAGCAGCCGCGGUGAUACGUAGGGUGCGAGCGUUGUCCGGAUUUAUUGGGCGUAAAGGGCUCGUAGGUGGUUGAUCGCGUCGGAAGUGUAAUCUUGGGGCUUAACCCUGAGCGUGCUUUCGAUACGGGUUGACUUGAGGAAGGUAGGGGAGAAUGGAAUUCCUGGUGGAGCGGUGGAAUGCGCAGAUAUCAGGAGGAACACCAGUGGCGAAGGCGGUUCUCUGGGCCUUUCCUGAGGCUGAGGAGCGAAAGCGUGGGGAGCGAACAGGCUUAGAUACCCUGGUAGUCCACGCUGUAAACGGUGGGUACUAGGUGUGGGGUCCAUUCCACGGGUUCCGUGCCGUAGCUAACGCUUUAAGUACCCCGCCUGGGGAGUACGGCCGCAAGGCUAAAACUCAAAGGAAUUGACGGGGCCCCGCACAAGCGGCGGAGCAUGCGGAUUAAUUCGAUGCAACGCGUAGAACCUUACCUGGGUUUGACAUGGAUCGGGAGUGCUCAGAGAUGGGUGUGCCUCUUUUGGGGUCGGUUCACAGGUGGUGCAUGGCUGUCGUCAGCUCGUGUCGUGAGAUGUUGGGUUAAGUCCCGCAACGAGCGCAACCCUUGUUCACUGUUGCCAGCACGUUAUGGUGGGGACUCAGUGGAGACCGCCGGGGUCAACUCGGAGGAAGGUGGGGAUGACGUCAAGUCAUCAUGCCCCUUAUGUCCAGGGCUUCACGCAUGCUACAAUGGCUGGUACAGAGAGUGGCGAGCCUGUGAGGGUGAGCGAAUCUCGGAAAGUCGGUCUCAGUUCGGAUUGGGGUCUGCAACUCGACCUCAUGAAGUCGGAGUCGCUAGUAAUCGCAGAUCAGCAACGCUGCGGUGAAUACGUUCCCGGGGCU
Molecule: ribosomal RNA, 1346 nt
Filed under: uncultured bacterium
Lineage: Bacteria
Description: partial 16S ribosomal RNA
Rfam family: Bacterial small subunit ribosomal RNA
Source: RNAcentral